This 2453-nucleotide ribosomal RNA is filed under the name metagenome. RNAcentral's name for it is "bacterial LSU rRNA". It matches the Rfam family "Bacterial large subunit ribosomal RNA", at positions 263 to 2557 of the family's 2925-position model. The record is from RNAcentral.
UGAUGGCCAAACCUUGCGCGUGUGAUACCCGUCGGGGGUUGCGCGCGGGGUGUUGCGGGAUCGCGUGCGCCGGCUCCGACGGGCCGGCCGGCAGUUGCAGAAAACCAUGUGUCAGGGGAACCGGGUUGAAUACCGGGCCGCAGAGGGUGAGGGCCCCGUACCUGAACGCGCAUGGUCUGCCGAUCGCGUCUCCCAAGUAGCACGGGUCCCGUGGAACCCCGUGCGAAUCCGCCCAGACCGUUGGGUAAGCCUGAAUAUUCCUGUCUGACCGAUAGCGAACGAGUACCGUGAGGGAAAGGUGAAAAGUACCCCGGGAGGGGAGUGAAACAGUCUCUGAAACCGUGCGCCUACAAUCCGUCGGAGCCCUUUUGUGGGGUGACGGCGUGCCUAUCGAAAAAUGAGUCUGCGAGUCAGUGGCAUGUGGCGAGCAUAACCCGUGUGGGGUAUGCGUAGCGAAGGCGAGUCUUAAAAGGCGUUUGAGUCGCGUGUCCUGGACCCGAAGCGGGAUGAUCUAGCCCUGAGCAGGUUGAAGCGCGGGUAAGACCGCGUGGAGGACCGAACCCACCUGGGUUGAAAACCGGGGGGAUGACUUGGGGCUAGGGGUGAAAGGCCAAUCAAAUUCCGUGAUAGCUGGUUCUCUCCGAAAUGCAUUUGGGUGCAGCGUCGGGUCAUUACGUCCCGGGGGUAGAGCUACUGGAUGCUUGCGGGCCCGUAUCGGGUACCAACAGCAACCAAACUCCGAAUACCGGUGACGCGUAUCCCGGCAGUGAGUCGGCGGGGGAUAAGCUUCGUCGUCGAAAGGGAAACAGCCCAGACCGUCGUCUAAGGUCCCGAAGCGUGUGCUAAGUGGGAAAGGAUGUGGAGUCGCAUAGACAGCCAGGAGGUUGGCUCAGAAGCAGCCACCCUUGAAAGAGUGCGUAACAGCUCACUGGUCUAGUGGUUCCGCGCCGACAAUGUAGCGGGGCUCAAGCACACCACCGAAGACGCGGCAGUAUUUUGUACUGGGUAGGAGAGCGUCCCAUGAGGGGCGAAGCGGCCGUGUGAACGCGCCGUGGACUUCAUGGGAGUGAGAAUGCAGACAUGAGUAGCGAGAGACGGGUGAAGAUCCCGUCCGCUGGAUGACCAAGGGUUCCAGGGCCACGUUCAUCGUCCCUGGGUGAGUCGGGUCCUAAGGCGAGGCCGACAGGCGUAGUCGAAUGGAUGAACGGGUCGAUAUUCCCGUACCGGCUUUCAGCCGCCAAAACCGAGGCUUGGAGUACUAACCUCCGGGUCCGGGCUUACUGCUCCUUCGGGGGCGGGAUGCCCUGGCCUGUUGGGACCGAUCCUUGUAGUAGGUCAGCGCAGGAGUGACGCAGAAGGGUAGCCGGCCGCGGAGGUGGUCUUCCGUGGUCAAGCACGCAGGGCGUGGGACAGGCAAAUCCGUCCCGCAUGGGUCCGAGGUGCGAUGAUGGGGGCCUUAUGGCCCGAUAUCCGGUGAUCCCGGCUGCCGAGAAAAGCUUCGGCGUCAGGCUCGAAGCCGCCCGUACCCCAAACCGACACUGGUGGUCAGGUAGAGAAUACCAAAGCGAUCGAGCGAAUCCUGGUCAAGGAACUCGGCAAAUCACUCCCGUUCCUUCGGUUUAAGGGAGACCCCCGAUGGUGAACACACUUGCUGUGGGAGCUUUUGGGGGUGGCACAGACCAGGGGGUAGCGACUGUUUACCAAAAACACAGGUGCAUGCGAAGGCGCAAGCCGCUGUAUAUGCACUGACGCCUGCCCGGUGCCGGAAGGUUAAGAGGAUCCGUCAGCCUUCGGGUGAAGCGGUGAAUUCAAGCCCCGGUAAACGGCGGUGGUAACUAUAACCAUCCUAAGGUAGCGAAAUUCCUUGUCGGGUAAGUUCCGACCUGCACGAAUGGCGUAACGACUUCCCCACUGUCUCGACCAGGAGCUCGGCGAAAUUGCAGUACGAGUAAAGAUGCUCGUUAAGCGCAGAAGGACGAAAAGACCCCGGGACCUUUACUAUACCUUGGUAUUGGCAUUCGGUGUGGAUUGUGUAGCAUAGGCGGGAGGCCGAGAGGCGCGGUCGCCAGAUCGCGCGGAGCCGUAAGGUGAAAUACCGCUCUGUUCGCAUUGGAUGUCUAACCUCGAACAGUCAUCCUGUUCAGGGACAGUGCCUGGCGGGUAGUUUAACUGGGGCGGUUGCCUCCCAAAGAGUAACGGAGGCGCCCAAAGGUCCGCUCAGCCCGGUUGGCAAUCGGGUGGCGAGUGCAAGUGCACAAGCGGGCUUGACUGCGAGGACGACGGUCCGAGCAGGGACGAAAGUCGGGACUAGUGAUCCGGUGCCGGUGUACGGACGCGGCAUCGCUCAACGGAUAAAAGGUACCCCGGGGAUAACAGGCUGAUCAUUCCCAAGAGUCCAUAUCGACGGGAUGGUUUGGCACCUCGAUGUCGGCUCGUCGCAUCCUGGGGCUGAG